This is a non-coding RNA of Lactarius quietus, 82 nucleotides long. The record is from the annotation of a GenBank genome assembly. NCBI's taxonomy places the organism in Eukaryota, Fungi, Basidiomycota, Agaricomycetes, Russulales, Russulaceae.
GCCCGCCUAGCUCAAUCGGAUAGAGCGUCAGACUCUUAGGGCGGAAAUCUGAAGGCUGCGAGUUCGACCCUCGCGGUGGGCU